CCGAUGGAGGGGGAUAACUACUGGAAACGGUAGCUAAUACCGCAUAACGUCGCAAGACCAAAGAGGGGGACCUUCGGGCCUCUUGCCAUCGGAUGUGCCCAGAUGGGAUUAGCUAGUAGUGGGGUAACGGCUCACCUAGGCGACGAUCCCUAGCUGGUCUGAGAGGAUGACCAGCCACACUGGAACUGAGACACGGUCCAG
RNAcentral lists this ribosomal RNA (201 nucleotides) under uncultured bacterium. RNAcentral describes it as "partial 16S ribosomal RNA". It matches the Rfam family "Bacterial small subunit ribosomal RNA", at positions 130 to 334 of the family's 1533-position model. The record is from RNAcentral.